UACGAAGGGUGCAAGCGUUACUCGGAAUUACUGGGCGUAAAGUGUGCGUAGGUGGUGAUUUAAGUCCGUUGUGAAAGCCCUGGGCUCAACCUGGGAAUUGCAGUGGAUACUGGGUCACUAGAAUGUGGUAGAGGGUAGCGGAAUUCCUGGUGUAGCAGUGAAAUGCGUAGAGAUUAGGAGGAACAUCCGUGGCGAAGGCGGCUACCUGGACCAACAUUGACACUGAGGCACGAAAGCGUGGGGAGCAAACAGG
RNAcentral lists this ribosomal RNA (253 nucleotides) under uncultured bacterium. Its description in RNAcentral is "partial 16S ribosomal RNA". It matches the Rfam family "Bacterial small subunit ribosomal RNA", at positions 524 to 776 of the family's 1533-position model. The record is from RNAcentral.